AACGCACAUUGCGCCUCCUGGUAUUCCGGGAGGCACGCCCGUUUGAGCGUCAGCUUAAACCCCCUCCGGCCGAGUAUUACGGCUCGGGCCUUUGGCGUGGGGAGGUGACCGCGGCGCUUCGGCGCCGGCCAGGUUUCCCCCGCUUAAAUACGGAGAAAGCUAGCGGGCGGAGCCCCUCUGAAUGGACCGACUUGUAGAAAUCUUUUUGCCGUCGUUGAACGUUCCGGAGGGCCGCCAGCCUCAAACCUCAAAAGGACCUAGCGUCCUUAAGACUUUUUGACCUCAAAUCGGGCGAGGAUACCCGCUGAACUUAA
Molecule: ribosomal RNA, 314 nt
Filed under: uncultured fungus
Lineage: Eukaryota; Fungi
Description: eukaryotic LSU rRNA
Source: RNAcentral